RNAcentral lists this long non-coding RNA (4897 nucleotides) under Lathyrus oleraceus (garden pea). Its description in RNAcentral is "Pisum sativum (pea) long non-coding RNA (PSAT_LNC011908)". Lineage: Eukaryota; Viridiplantae; Streptophyta; Magnoliopsida; Fabales; Fabaceae. The record is from RNAcentral.
UUGAACCAUUCGUUGAUUGAUAUCUUAUCAUGAGAGUCUCAAACCCUAGUUGUGAGCUUGAUAGGGCACAAAUGGGUGCACACACUACAUACAAAAGAAACAAAGUUAUAAAUAGACAUAUUUUUUUUGGUAUUUUGGUUAGUAAACCAGAGAAAAUAAAGUAUGAUGCAGCCAAAUGUGCUUGGUGUUAUCUCCAAAUGAAAACCCAAUGAAUGAGGGGUGAGGAGGAUACCAAGGUGUGAUCCCAAAGCCAAUGCAAAUGAUGAGAUAGCAUGAGGGAUCUUAGGGUCAAAAUUGGGGUCUUACAUCAUCCAUUAAAACUUCUUCCCAUUUAGUACCCUUACAUUGCAUUUCAUUCAUUCCCUGUGGGAAAAUUUCAUGGUUACUUUGGUAUUUAAUCCUCUCAUACUUCGAAUGUUUGAAAGCCAUUGUUAUUCAUACAUUCAGGUCCGAAAAGAUUAAAUAGGGGAAGUUGUCAUACCCUAAACUUUGCCCUCCCAUUUUCAUUUUCAUCUAAACUUUUGGUUUAAGAUUCAUUUUCAUUCAUGAACAUCCAUGACAUCAAAAACUUUAGGCAAGAAAAAGAAGUCCUCAUUUGACGCGUGGGAGCAUUAUAAAGAUUUGCUAAGACAAUGCCCUUUCCAUGGGCUUGAGAAGCGGAUGAUUAUCCAUAAUUUUUACAAUGGUCUCCUUUACUCCACAAGGUUGACCUUAGAUGUGGCUUCUGGAGGAUCCCUAAUUAAUAGUCCUUUAUAAUAUAAGAGAUGGCUAAAAACCACCAUUCAUGGGGAAGUGUGCGAUAAGUUACCGCUAAGUAUACUCCUAAAAUCGGUGGUAUAUAUGAGGUUAAUGCAUUUGGUCACAUGAACGCUAAGGUGGAUUCUCUUUACCAAAAUAUAGAUACCCUUAGAAUCACACCUUCCACACCUAUUAUUCCAUCCCAUAUUGCUUCAGGUGCCCCUGCCAAACUCUACUAUGAGAUAUACAGAGUUAAUGGGCAUACCAAUAGAUAUUGUUAAAUGAUCCUCAUGGGAGGAUCCACCCAAGAGAAUGCUAACUUUGUGAAUAAUAACCAAAGGAACAGACUUACUCUAACACCUACAACCCAUGGUGGCGUGAUCACCCAAAGUUAUCUUGUAGAAACAACAACCCCCAAUAAGCCAUGAGGCCUAUAGGUUUCCGAAAAGUUACACAACCCUAGCCUAAGAAGUCUAACAUUGAACUUUCGAUGGAAAAUAUUUUUUUGACACAAACCCGUCAAAAUGGUGAGUUUAAAUAUCAAAACCUCCUCACCAAUGAUGCGCUGAGGCAAUUGAAUACUAGGUUGGAUAAUGUUGUUACUCACACCAAGAUGUUAGAGACUCAAAUCUCCAAGUGGUGCAACAACAAGCCGUUUCUUCCAUCCCUCUCGAAUCAUUUUCAAGGCAUCCCGAAUGAAUAGCUAAGGGGCAUUUGAAUGCCGUGACAACUCAUAGUGGUAAGGAAGUGUGACAACACCAUACAAAAAGGAGGUUGCUAAAGAGGUUAAAAUGAGUGUGACAACACCAUACACAAAGGAGGUUGCUAAAGAGGUUGGGAAGGGAGUACCCUAUGUUGCUCAUACUCCAUAAAAACCUAUUGUUCAUUAACCAUAAAGGCUUAUGAAAUCCUAAAUGGAGACCCAACUCAAAAAGUUUGUGGAACUUCUCAAGAAGAUCCACUUCAAUGUGCCUUUCACUAAGGUGCUAACUCAAAUGCCCUCUUAUGCCAAGUUCUUGAAAGAGAUCCAUUCCAAUAAAAGAAAGCUAGAGGACUAUGAAAAUAUGGCCAUAACCCUUGAUAGUAGUGUCGUUAUUCAAAACAUGGUCAUCCCUAAGCUCAAAGAUCUGGGAAUUUUCUUUAUCCCUUGUCAUAUAGGUGUCAUACCCCAAAAAUUAUCCUCCCCUUUUCAUUUUCAUCUAACCUCUUUGUUUAAGAUUCAUUUGCAUUCAUGAACAUCCAUAUCAUCUAGUGUACCAACAUCAUCAUAGAUUUAAAGGUUUAAGGUUGAUUAUAAUUAACAAGGACCUAGGGUUUGCUUGAGGAUCAAGCCCGAGUAGUUGUGAUGCUACAGACAUUAAGAUCCCAUCAUGGUGAUCAAAGUGCAAGACCCAAGUUACUAGGUGUUUUAGGCCUUAGAGGUUGCAUCUUGGUGUUCAUUCCAUGCCAAACCCUAAUCCUUGGUUUUGGAGCUGGUGAACCUUAUGGAUUGCUUUGAGGGGUUGAAAACCCUAGUGUGGCUCAGGUUAUUGGUGCAUUGAUUGUGUUGAUCACUCACUUGGUUUGAGGCCUUUGGCUGUUGAUUGGAUUUGAACUUUGACCUAGUUGGAACCCUAGUUCAUGGUGCCUUGUGAUUGGUCUAAGACAUGCUUACAUUCAUGUUUCAUUGCACGUUGUUAUUAGUCUCAUUUGAUCUAAGUCACACUUCAUCCAUUGGUUUUCAUGGUCAUCAUUAUUUGGUCCAAGUCCCAUUCCAUUUUCAUUCAUUGCUCUCACUGUGUGUCAAGGUUCAAUGUAAAGUCAAUUGGUCUAAGUUUCAUUGUCUAUUUGGUCAAAUCACUUCAUGGUCAUUUGAUUUUAAUGCCAUUCAUUCAUUCAAAGUAUUUAUUUUCAAUUGGUUACAUUGGAUUUGGAAGAUGGUCAAUUGAAUCCUAUUGUUUCAUUAUGUUAUUAAAACAUUAUUAAGUAGAGAAAAUACAUUCCAUUCAUUGAUUACAUUAUUCAUAUAUAUUUCAUUGAAAGAAAAUUACAAAAGUACAUAAUUUUUGCAUAAGUUGACUUUUUGGUAAACUCACCAUUCUACCAUACCUAAAACCAUAGUGUUCUUGUUCUUUAUGAUCAUCUUGGCAUUUGUUUAUCACCUAUAAGAAGAAACCAAGCACAUGUUCAUUAUACCAUAUCAUGUCAUAACUUUCCAAACUAAAACCUAGACAAAGCAUUAAAAUACAACCAUUAAUACAACAUGAAUCAUACAUGACUAUCAUAAGCCUAUACCACACAUACAUACCCACAUUAUCAUUUCUAAACCAUUAACAUGUCAAUACAUAACCAAAACCAACACAACAACCUAACCUAAACCAUUUCAAACCAACUCGAGCAAAACCAAACAUUGCAAGCAUCGCAUUAACAUGAGACCACUACCAUUUUAAAACUUAGCUAGCCAUGACAUUUUCUAGCACUUCCAAAUAAGGCAUUUACAUACAAUACAUACCAUUCACCAUCACAAACAAUGCAAACAGUCACUAACAUCCUGCCAUGGCAUUGCAAACAAAAUCAAUCCAAGUAAGAAUGACCAAAACCUAAAAUAGACCUACCAAAUACAUGACAAACCUCACACAGCCAUGAAUGCCAUCCUGCAAGACAACAUCAAUAACUUGUCCAAAUUCAAACCACGUUGCGGUCUACCUCACAUGGCCAUGUACUGUCCAACAUCAAUCAGCAUGCAACCCUGUAACAAUAAACCUGCAGCAAAGCCAAACCCACCAUUCACCUACAACAACAAUACAUAAACCCUGCAAUAACCAUUUCAUAACAAGUAUAUUGCAAACCACAAGCAGAACAACAUCAAGCUAACCAACUGGUCUUGAAAAUCGAGCUACACACUUAAUAACCAACAACAACUUAACAUUUAUUAUCUAACAAAAGAUUAUAAUUUAGUUUAACAAUUAAGUCCAAUUGACUUUUUCACUAAGCAUUUAUUAACCAGAAACUGAAUUUGAUUCAAAUGCCAGCUUCCAAAUCAUUUCAAUUAAACCAACUCAGAUUUUCAUUUUCACUUUUCACUCUAACUAUGGCAAUUAACUCCAAAUAUCAUUUAACAGGAAUCGAGCUAACAAUUUUCCAUAAUAACAAAUAACCUUUUUCACUUAACAUCACAUUUAACAACUUAAACUAAUUCGUUUUCACAUUUAGCAGAAAAAGUAAAAACUGAUAUUUACAUUAACCGAGUCUAACUCAUUCCAUUAACUGAAACUAACAAAGAUUUUCCAUUAUAACUAACUAAAUUUUCUCCAAGUACCUAAGCUAACCGAAUAUAACUAACAAUUAACUCCGUGAGAUCAUUCCAACAAAUUUUCAAUGCAAUCAUCUAACAUUGUUGAUCAACUCUGUUAGAUCCUCCACUAUGAAUUUAUGAUUCAUUUAAUUCACGAAUUCAAUUAUGAUUCGUUCACCAUUCAUCACAAUCCGCGGUUCAAACAAUUCACCAAUCUCUCUCUCUCUCUCUCUCUCUCUCUCUCUCUCUCUCUCUCUCUUUUCACCAUUCAUCACAAUCCGCGGUUCAAACAAUUCACCAAUCUCUCUCUCUCUCUCUCUCUCUCUCUCUCUCUCUCUCUCUCUCUCGAGUUCAUCAGUUCUCACAACACACAAAUUUCCUAAAGAUGAUUUGAGAAGAAGAAGAGAAGAACCAGGAAGAAGAAUGGGAGAAAGAAGAUUCAAGAUUCUUACCUGAUUCUGGCGCUGCUCUAGUGAGUUACUUCUUCAUCUUCAUCGUUUCAUUGUGUGUGAGUUACUGGAACAUGGGAGGCUAGGGGAAUCAAAGCCAUAACCUCUAGGGAUUUGAUUCCUAGAUGUGAGAGUUUAACUUUAGGUAUGAAUGUUAGGGUUCUUCCACUAUCCAUUUUGAUUCAGACUUGUGAGGAGGAAGUAGCUCGUUCCAAGGUGAUAUUCGGACUCAGGACAUUAAACUGAAGAAGGUGAUAUAAUUUAUUUGGUCAUUAAGGCUCUACCAUCCCCGGAGGUGACCUCCGGCACGACGGAGGAAGUCUGAGCUUAGUGGAGGGAUUUCAUGUGGUUUGAACUUUUAAUCUUUGGAUUUCAGGAUGUGGAAAAUGUGUUUAGUAUGCUUCCUGCUCACGUGGCCUUGCUGACUUCAAUUCAU